GCCGGGUGUGGUGGCGCAUGCCUGUAAUCCCAGCUACUCAGGAGGCUGAGGCAGGCGAAUUGCUUGAACCCGGGAGGCGGAGAAUGCAGUGAGCCGAGAUUGUGCCACUGCACUCCAGCAUGGGUAACAGAGUAAGACCCUGUCUCAA
Molecule: non-coding RNA, 148 nt
Organism: Gorilla gorilla gorilla (western lowland gorilla)
Lineage: Eukaryota; Metazoa; Chordata; Mammalia; Primates; Hominidae
Rfam family: Metazoan signal recognition particle RNA
About the family: The signal recognition particle (SRP) is a universally conserved ribonucleoprotein. It is involved in the co-translational targeting of proteins to membranes. The eukaryotic SRP consists of a 300-nucleotide 7S RNA and six proteins: SRPs 72, 68, 54, 19, 14, and 9.
Source: Rfam